CUCUAUGGCAGCUAUGCGUGGGGCACACUCGUGUGCGCCGGUUCCUGUAUCACCGGUCUGUCAACCCACGUACAGCUGCCACCCUC
Molecule: non-coding RNA, 86 nt
Organism: Pseudomonas alkylphenolica
Lineage: Bacteria; Pseudomonadati; Pseudomonadota; Gammaproteobacteria; Pseudomonadales; Pseudomonadaceae
Source: Rfam